GUGCGUAACGCGUAUGCAAUCUGCCUUGUACAGAGGGAUAGCCCAGAGAAAUUUGGAUUAAUACCUCAUAGUAUUAUUGAAUGGCAACAUUUAAUAAUUAAAGUUCCAACGGUACAAGAUGAGCAUGCGUCCUAUUAGCUAGUUGGUGUGGUAACGGCAUACCAAGGCUACGAUAGGUAGGGGUCCUGAGAGGGAGAUCCCCCACACUGGUACUGAGACACGGACCAGACUCCUACGGGAGGCAGCAGUGAGGAAUAUUGGACAAUGGGCGCAAGCCUGAUCCAGCCAUGCCGCGUGCAGGAAGGCGCAUCUAUGGUGUGUAAACUUCUUUUGUACGGGAAGAAACACUCCCUCGUGAGGGAGCUUGACGGUACCGUAAGAAUA
This 384-nucleotide ribosomal RNA is filed under the name uncultured bacterium. Its description in RNAcentral is "bacterial SSU rRNA". It matches the Rfam family "Bacterial small subunit ribosomal RNA", at positions 106 to 488 of the family's 1533-position model. The record is from RNAcentral.